Molecule: ribosomal RNA, 460 nt
Filed under: uncultured bacterium
Lineage: Bacteria
Description: partial 16S ribosomal RNA
Rfam family: Bacterial small subunit ribosomal RNA
Source: RNAcentral
CCUACGGGAGGCAGCAGUGAGGAAUAUUGGUCAAUGGGCGAGAGCCUGAACCAGCCAAGUCGCGUGCAGGAUGACGGCCCUACGGGUUGUAAACUUCUUUUGUCAGGGAGCAAUUGGGUCCACGCGUGGGCUUAGCGAGAGUACCUGAAGAAAAAGCAUCGGCUAACUCCGUGCCAGCAGCCGCGGUAUUACGGAGGACGCGAGGGUUAUCCGGAUUUAUUGGGUUUAAAGGGUGCGUAGGCGGGAUAUCAAGUCAGCGGGAAAAAUUCGGGGCUCAACCCCGUCGUGCAGUUGAAACUGAUGUUCUUGAGUGGGCGAGAAGUAUGCGGAAUGCGUGGUGUAGCGGUGAAAUGCAUAGAUAUCACGAAGAACUCCGAUUGCGAAGGCAGCAUACCGGCGCCCAACUGACGCUGAGGCACGAAAGCGCGGGUAUCGAACAGGAUUAGAUACCCUGGUAGUC